GACGAACGCGGGCGGCGUGCUUAACACAUGCAAGUCGAACGAUGAACCCGGAGCUUGCUCUUGGGAAUUAGUGGCGAACGGGUGAGUAACACGUGAGUAACCUGCCCUUGACUCUGGGAUAACCUCCGGAAACGGAAGCUAAUACCGGAUACGACGUACGGAGGCAUCUCCUGUACGUGGAAAGAACUUCGGUCAAGGAUGGACUCGCGGCCUAUCAGGUAGUUGGUGAGGUAACGGCUCACCAAGCCUACGACGGGUAGCCGGCCUGAGAGGGUGACCGGCCACACUGGGACUGAGACACGGCCCAGACUCCUACGGGAGGCAGCAGUGGGGAAUAUUGCACAAUGGGCGCAAGCCUGAUGCAGCAACGCCGCGUGAGGGAUGACGGCCUUCGGGUUGUAAACCUCUUUUAGUAGGGAAGAACAGAAAGUGACGGUACCUGCAUAACAAGCUCCGGGCAAUAAUGUACC
RNAcentral lists this ribosomal RNA (470 nucleotides) under Leifsonia sp. AaD62c. RNAcentral describes it as "bacterial SSU rRNA". It matches the Rfam family "Bacterial small subunit ribosomal RNA", at positions 28 to 509 of the family's 1533-position model. The record is from RNAcentral. Lineage: Bacteria; Bacillati; Actinomycetota; Actinomycetes; Micrococcales; Microbacteriaceae.